UACGAAGGGGGCUAGCGUUGCUCGGAAUUACUGGGCGUAAAGGGUGCGUAGGCGGGUCUUUAAGUCAGAGGGGAAAUCCUGGAGCUCAACUCCAGAACUGCCUUUGAUACUGAGGAUCUUGAGUUCGGGAGAGGUGAGUGGAACUGCGAGUGUAGAGGUGAAAUUCGUAGAUAUUCGCAAGAACACCAGUGGCGAAGGCGGCUCACUGGCCCGAUACUGACGCUGAGGCACGAAAGCGUGGGGAGCAAACAGG
RNAcentral lists this ribosomal RNA (253 nucleotides) under uncultured bacterium. RNAcentral's name for it is "partial 16S ribosomal RNA". It matches the Rfam family "Bacterial small subunit ribosomal RNA", at positions 524 to 776 of the family's 1533-position model. The record is from RNAcentral.